Molecule: long non-coding RNA, 373 nt
Filed under: Capra hircus (goat)
Lineage: Eukaryota; Metazoa; Chordata; Mammalia; Artiodactyla; Bovidae
Description: lncRNA (ENSCHIG00010006871.1)
Source: RNAcentral
GUUUUAAUCCUCACCUUCCCCUGCGUCCCUCACUCCUCCUGAGGCACUGUCUUCUAAUGAAUUGCUUGAAUUUCUCUGACUCUGCUUAAUUAGUGACUUUGGUGCAUUGUGUACAUUGAAAGAAAAAGACAAUGCAGUGAAUGAACGGUUGCUGCUACUGCUUUGUGCACACGGUGUGGAAAAUGACAGCUUGUCUAUAAUAACAUAGUGGAGUCAGGUCUGUAGUUGCCUGAAGGAGACAUGGCAGUCUCUCCCAAGAUGGAAGACUAGGGAAGGAGGUAGGUGAUCAGGAUGUCAAAAGGUUGCUAGAUAGUUCUAGUGUUGUAAUUACUAAUGAGAAUUCAUGAAUCAACUGCUCAGCCAGGGGCCCAUA